Molecule: ribosomal RNA, 396 nt
Filed under: Triticum aestivum (bread wheat)
Lineage: Eukaryota; Viridiplantae; Streptophyta; Magnoliopsida; Poales; Poaceae
Description: partial small subunit ribosomal RNA
Source: RNAcentral
AUGGUUCGUUGGUUUACAAAUGGCCGGUCUAAGCCCGCCGCCGCUGUUUUCACGCCUCCGUGGUCGGGCCGGGGUGGCGGCGGGCUGGUUGGUCGAAGCCUGCUGCCACUGUUUCCGCUCCUCCGUGGUGGGGGCCGGGGUGGCGGCGGGCUGUGCAGAGUACCAGACUUGCUGAGCCUGGGGAAGAGCUUGGAAGAGGAGACAAACCUUUUUGCUCAGUUUAUUCUCGUUGUUGUUGUUCCGUUUGCAUCCUUUUGCUUCUUCGGGGUUGAUUUUUGCACUGCUGGUUUUACGCUUUGGGGGGCAUUGCUCCUGCCUAUAGCUGCCAUGGAUUUCUGUUUUGCAGGAACUGUUUGCUUCGCUUGGCGCAAACAAGAUUCUCACGUGGAUGGAUGA